GAUAGAUUACGGUAUGGAGCAUGGGGCGCGCGUCUACUGAAUUAUAACAGAAUUAUAAUUCUAAAUUUGUUUUUCUUUUCUCUGAAUGUUCAUCUCUUUCUUUCUACUAAUCCACCCCUCUCUCUCUCUCUCUCUCCAUUUUACAACACAAACCCUAAAAUAUGUUCAACACCGGCGGCGGUGGCCUUCUUCUUUCUCUACAGCAUAACAAUAACAAAUCGAAACCCCCCAAGUAAACCCCAAACCGUGAUUUCAACAAACCUUAACCCAAAUUCCCUAUCUCGAAUACCUGAUCUCCAAUAUUCCAAAAAGCUAAGUGUGCUUUUUUUGGUAGUAGGUCCGACAAGUGAUGAUCGGGAACGACGACUUGAUGCGGCGACUUGGAGUAUGGAGGAUACGGUUGUGCGUUGGAAGUUGAUGGAGAGGCCUCGCAGUGGCGCGGCGGGUGCGUGGGUAGCCGGAGGUCGUGCGGCCGGAGCUUCGCGGUGGCUUGCGAAAGGUACGUCAAGAACGGAGGCCGCUGAUGAGUGA
Non-coding RNA from Vicia faba (fava bean), 531 nucleotides. Lineage: Eukaryota; Viridiplantae; Streptophyta; Magnoliopsida; Fabales; Fabaceae. The record is from the annotation of a GenBank genome assembly.